GGGGGCGUAGUUGAGUUGGUUACAAUGCCGCCCUGUCACGGCGGAGGUCGAGGGUUCGAGUCCCUUCGCUCCCGCCA
This 77-nucleotide transfer RNA is filed under the name Pseudobdellovibrionaceae bacterium. RNAcentral's name for it is "Bdellovibrionaceae bacterium tRNA-Asp". It matches the Rfam family "tRNA". Rfam says of the family: Transfer RNA (tRNA) molecules are approximately 80 nucleotides in length. Their secondary structure includes four short double-helical elements and three loops (D, anti-codon, and T loops). The record is from RNAcentral. Lineage: Bacteria; Pseudomonadati; Bdellovibrionota; Bdellovibrionia; Bdellovibrionales; Pseudobdellovibrionaceae.